RNAcentral lists this ribosomal RNA (368 nucleotides) under uncultured organism. Its description in RNAcentral is "bacterial SSU rRNA". It matches the Rfam family "Bacterial small subunit ribosomal RNA", at positions 526 to 896 of the family's 1533-position model. The record is from RNAcentral.
CGGAGGAUCCAAGCGUUGUCCGGAUUUAUUGGGUUUAAAGGGUGCGUAGGUGGAUAAUUAAGUCAGGGGUGAAAGCCUGCAGCUCAACUGUAGAACUGCCCUUGAAACUGAUUAUCUUGAAUGUGGUUGAGGUAGGCGGAAUGUGUCAUGUAGCGGUGAAAUGCUUAGAUAUGAUACAGAACACCAAUUGCGAAGGCAGCUUACUAAGCCAUUAUUGACACUGAGGCACGAAAGCAUGGGGAGCAAACAGGAUUAGAUACCCUGGUAGUCCAUGCCCUAAACGUUGAUAACUCGUUGUUGGCGAUAUACAGUCAGCGACUAAGCGAAAGCGUUAAGUUAUCCACCUGGGGAGUACGUCCGCAAGGAUG